CCUACGGGAGGCAGCAGUGGGGGAUAUUGCACAAUGGGGGAAACCCUGAUGCAGCGACGCCGCGUGUGGGAAGACGGUCCUCUGGAUUGUAAACCACUGUCCCCAGGGACGAAGAUGACGGUACCUGGGGAGGAAGCUCCGGCUAAAUACGUGCCAGCAGCCGCGAUAAUACGUAGGGAGCGAGCGUUGUCCGGAAUUACUGGGUGUAGAGGGAGCGUAGGCGGGACUGCAAGUUGGGUGUCAAAUCUACCGGCUCAACCGGUAGCCGCACUCAAAACUGCAGUUCUUGAGUGAAGUAGAGGCAGGCGGAAUUCCUAGUGUAGCGGUGAAAUGCGUAGAUAUUAGGAGGAACACCAGUGGCGAAGGCGGCCUGCUGGGCUUUUACUGACGCUGAGGCUCGAAAGUGUGGGGAGCAAACAGGAUUAGAUACCCUAGUAGUC
RNAcentral lists this ribosomal RNA (440 nucleotides) under uncultured bacterium. Its description in RNAcentral is "partial 16S ribosomal RNA". It matches the Rfam family "Bacterial small subunit ribosomal RNA", at positions 338 to 795 of the family's 1533-position model. The record is from RNAcentral.